Dreissena polymorpha is the source of this 2307-nucleotide long non-coding RNA. RefSeq lists it as uncharacterized. NCBI's taxonomy places the organism in Eukaryota, Metazoa, Mollusca, Bivalvia, Myida, Dreissenidae. The record is from RefSeq and is a predicted model, not a curated record. The transcript has 3 exons.
UUUAAGUUUUAUGAUAUCAAUAUGACAUUAAGUUGUUAUAUACAAGGAACUACAUUUGUUUACAACGUAGCCUAACACCACACACAAUUCACUUUCGAUAUCAAACUAUCGAGUCGAUCACGAGGUGCACAAUAUUUGCUUCUUUGUUAUAAUAUGUGGUUAUUCGUGACGAAAUAACAAAUAUUACUUGGAUUUAAGCUAAUUAUAUACAUUAACAUUUUGAAUGUUGAAAGUGGCACCAAAGAAUUGUGAGGCAAAGUUGUUCGAACUAGAGAAAGACAUUUGCUGGUGAAGUGACUGGGUGGGGCGAACAUCAAGAUCAACUUUUUCGACGGUAGACAGUGGUUGUCUAGGCUGCAUUUCGGCCAUAGUUUCGGUGCAUGAAGGUGAACAAGAGGAAUCUGUUGGAUUGUUACAUUAACUGGACUGAGCAAGAAUGAUCACUUUUGCUGCUGUUCAACAGAUAUGUUGGAAUAAUUGGUUAUUGACUGGACAUUUUUGUGCCCUGUUAUGGCCAUGGUUUCAGUGGGUGGAAUGUUUGCAUUUCGAAGUUUUUGGACCAGGAAUUUGCGAACUGAGUGGUUCGUUAUUCUCUUGUGCUUGAGAAAGCCGGCGUCUUUUGCCAUGGCCUUCAGCAUCUGACCUAACUUGUUGACACCCAAUUGUUGACGCAAGAAUCACCGGGAUGCAGUGUCAUUUGUGCGUAUUGAUAGGUAAAAAAAAUGCUUUGAAGACAAAUCAGAUGGACGCAUAUCCGAGUACAGCUUGUAAAUGAACACAGGAUUUCUUGGUCCAGACGAUUGUUUUCUACGGUCAAAGGGGAGCAACUCGAACUGACUUCUUCAAAGGGGAGCAACAACAACAGAACCUAUUUGCAUAGUGUUGAUUUUACCUAAUACUAGGUUUUAAUGACAAUAAAUGACAAAAAACUCGUUUUUUUGCUACUUUCCUUUGUUUUAAGGUCAUUAAGAUUGACAAACAUUUGAGAUUGUUUUUAUUAUUGAUGCACUUUGCAAAUACAGGUGACGAGGUGCGUGGGAAAAAGUAGUCCCGGUUCGGCAGUUUAUGACGUCAUUUCGUGCCAUUGAUUAUAGCCUUGCCGUUGAUUAUAGAUGAAAUUUAAUCAACGGGGCUUUAAUCAACCGAUUUCGCUGUAAAAGUGGGAUAAAUAUAUUUAUUUUAUGAGAUGAGCAGUAGAUAAGACAUUGUUCGUGUAAAUUAACCAAUGAAUGAACGUUUUACGUUAUGCUUAUCCAAUCUUUUAAAUUUUAUCCACCAGAUAAUAUGAGUCGUGUUCUCAAAAAACUGGCCACAAUGCAUGUGCGUAAAGUGUCGUCCCAGAUUAGCCUGUGCAGUCCGCAAAAGCUAAUCGGGGACGACACUUUCCGAAUAAAACUUGAUUUUCGGUAAGAAGUGACUUCCUUGAAACUAAAAUACCAUAAAUCGAAAAGUGUCGUCCGUGAUUAGCCUGUGUGGACUGCACAUCUCCGAAUUUCAUUCAUAACCCUUUCCAUUUAUUAUCAUCAUGAAAUAAAAGAGCAUGAAAUUAUGCAUACAUGUAAAACAUGUUACAAUAUAUAUAUAUAUAUAUAGUUCUCAGAAAACUGGGCAUAAUGUUUGUGCGUAAAGUGUCGUCCGAGAUAGAUUAGCCUGUGCAGUCCGUACAGGCUAAUCAGGGACGACACUUUCCGCCUAAAUUGGAUUUUUGCUAAGAAGAGACUUCAUUUAAACGAAAUAUGUCAUAAAAGCGGAAAGCGGAAAGCACGGGCUUAUCUGGGACGACACGUUACGCAGAUGCAAUAUGCCCAGUUUUCUCAGAACGUGACUCUAAUAAUCGUCAAUCUAGUGUUUCCGUUCACACAUCGCUGCAGGUGUGUAACUCCCCCAGUGGAACUACGCAGGUUACAACGGCCGGAAGUACAGAUACGUGUAUGGAGUAGGGCUUCACAAGGGCGACAGAGUCUCUACCAGUGUUGUGAAGAUCAACAAGUGCUACGAGGAGUUGAGCGAGGCCGGAUGUUACGUGUCUGAGCCGGUGUUCAUAGCCGACCCUUGUGGCUCAGCAGAGGACCACGGUGUGCUGUUGGUGGCAGUCAACAAGAUCCACGUGGAUGACUCUAGGACUUGCUUCUUGUUAUUGCUGGACGCAAUAAACAUGACGCCAUUGGCCAAGGUCGAGUUUGCAGGAUUAGACAAUGUCCCCAGAGAUUUUCAUUGACUUUUCAAAUCUAAAAGUUGCGAAACUAAAUAAAUUCUACGUUGCAGAAGAGCGUGUAAAAAACUGAUGCAAUUGUUUUUAAAUCACAU